GUGAGAAUCCUGCUACUAAUACCGAGUACCACACUUUACUUCAGAUUCACUUCAAAGCUAACACACACACACCGCUAACACACACUGCUAACACACACACACACACACACCACUAACACACACUGCUAAUGUACAGCAUUAAGUGUUAUCUCUUCAUGAAUAUACAUUUCCAUUUAUUCAUUUAGCAGAAAUAGUUUCUUACUCGUUCUUUCUCACUAUUUACUGUCAGAUCUUAUCUUUCUCUUUAAAUGAUUCUUUCUUUCUUUCUCUUUCCCAUCUUUUUCUUUUGUGCUUUCUUUCCUUUCUUUACCCCUUGUUCUUGCCUUUUUACUUGAAUUAUUGGGGGUUUGUUUAUUUCUUCUUUCUUUCUUUCAUGUUUUGGCUUUUUUAUUUCUCUAGUUUGUUCUUUCUGUCGUUCCCUCUUUCUUUCUUCCUCUCUUUCCCAUCUUUUCUUUUUUAGUUUACUGAGUUUAGUCUUUCUUUCUUUUCCAAUUUUUUUCUUACCCGUUUACUUUUUACUUUAGUUUUUCUUUCUCUCAUUCUUCUCUUUUUACUUUAGUUUUUCUUUCUCUCAUUCUUCUCUUUUUACUUUAGUUUUUCUUUCUCUCAUUCUUCUCUUUUUACUUUAGUUUUUCUUUCUCUCAUUCUUCUCUUUUUUAGUUUAGCUUUGAAUUAUCUCUUCUUGGUCUUUACCUUUUUUUCCGGAUUGCUGAUUUUUCUUUCUUUAUUUUUAUUUGGUUUACCCUUUCUUCCAUUCAUUAUUAUUAUUUUUCGGCUUUUUAUUUCUCUACUUUAUUCUUUCUUCCUUUCUUCACCAUUCUUUUCUUCUUCUUUUUUUUAGUUUACUGAGUUUAGAUUUGAAUUCUUUUUCUAAUUCUUUAUCUGUUCUUUACUUUUUCAGUUUAUUUUUCUUUCUAUCUUCCGUCCCCAUUCUUUUCUUUUUUAAAAAAAUAGUUUUGCUAAUUUUCUAGUUUAGAUUUGAAUUAUUUUCAUUAUUCUUUAUCUUUGUUUAUUUUGUUUUAUUUUUAUUUGCCUUACUCUUUCUUUCUUACUUCCUUUCUACUUAAUUUUUUGUUUGUUUUAAUUCCUCUACACUAUUCUCUCUCUCUCUCUCUCUUUCUUUCUUUCUUCCUGUCUCUCAUUCUUUUCUUUUCUCAGUUUAGUUUAUUGACUUCAGUUGUUGUAUUCUUUUUCUUUCUUCCUUCCGUCCCCUCUUUUCUUCACGCCGGUCUGGAUCACCUCACUCGCUCGGGAACAUUAACACUUUGAAGCUGUUUAUCAUUAGAGAGCUUUGAAAAAUUUUCAAAGUUUUUGCUUUUUCCUUUUUUUUUUUUUUAAAUUCUUUUUUUUUUUACUUUCAGUAGAGAAGUUUCCAGCAGGAGGACAUCCAGUGGUACAACUCUGAAACCCGUUGUUUGUGUGUGCGAGUUAUAUAUGAUAUGAUGAUAUGUGUGUAAUGAUCAUUUUGGACUUGAC
Ictalurus punctatus (channel catfish) is the source of this 1476-nucleotide long non-coding RNA. Lineage: Eukaryota; Metazoa; Chordata; Actinopteri; Siluriformes; Ictaluridae. The record is from Ensembl.